AGAGUUUGAUCCUGGCUCAGGACGAACGCUGGCGGCGUGCCUCAUACAUGCAAGUCGAGCGAAUUGGCUUCGGCCAGUUAGCGGCGGACGGGUGAGUAACGCGUGGGCAAUCUGCCCUAAAGACCGGGAUAACAUUCCGAAAGGGAUGCUAAUACCGGGUGUGAUCUUUUCUUCGCAUGAAGAGAAGAAGAUAGGAGAAAUCCGCUUUAGGAUGAGCCCGCGUCCCAUUAGCUAGUUGGUAAGGUAAUGGCUUACCAAGGCGACGAUGGGUAGCCGACCUGAGAGGGUGACCGGCCACACUGGGACUGAGACACGGCCCAGACUCCUACGGGAGGCAGCAGUCGGGAAUAUUGGGCAAUGGGGGAAACCCUGACCCAGCAACGCCGCGUGAGUGAUGAAGGCCUUCGGGUCGUAAAGCUCUGUCCUUGGGGACGAAGAAAUGACGGUACCCAAGAAGAAAGCCACGGCUAACUACGUGCCAGCAGCCGCGGUAAUACGUAGGUGGCGAGCGUUGUCCGGAAUUACUGGGCGUAAAGGGCGAGUAGGCGGUUUUACAAGUCAGAUGUGAAAUGCAUGGGCUCAACCCAUGAACUGCAUUUGAAACUGUAAGACUUGAGUGCGGUAGAGGAAAGUGGAAUUCCCAGUGUAGCGGUGAAAUGCGUAGAUAUUGGGAGGAACACCAGUGGCGAAGGCGACUUUCUGGGCCGUAACUGACGCUGAGGCGCGAAAGCGUGGGGAGCAAACAGGAUUAGAUACCCUGGUAGUCCACGCCGUAAACGAUGGAUGCUAGGUGUGGGAGGUAUCGACCCCUUCCGUGCCGGAGCUAACGCAAUAAGCAUCCCGCCUGGGGAGUACGACCGCAAGGUUGAAACUCAAAGGAAUUGACGG
RNAcentral lists this ribosomal RNA (888 nucleotides) under uncultured Bacillota bacterium. Its description in RNAcentral is "bacterial SSU rRNA". It matches the Rfam family "Bacterial small subunit ribosomal RNA", at positions 8 to 916 of the family's 1533-position model. Lineage: Bacteria; Bacillati; Bacillota. The record is from RNAcentral.